CACUCAAGCAACCAGGAGCACAAGGCAAAGGCAAGGAACUUUGUAUCCUGUUUCCAUGAUUUUCAAAAGGAUGUUCUCCUUCCUUCAACAUCAAUUGAUUUAAGAUGUAUUUUUUAAGAAGAUAACCCUGGGCCUAAAGCCAGAUAGAGUGCAUUCUUAAGAAACUCACUAAGAAGUGAUGUGCCUCCAACGCCCUGCGACUCAUCUGGGAGAGAAAUGCCUGCCAAGAGAGGCCUUUUGAACAUUCAGAGGAGUAGCUGAUUCUGCCAGCAUAGGAUCAAAGCCAAGAAGCUCACUCCCGAGACUAGAGCAAGGUCAGCAAGGAAACCAG
RNAcentral lists this long non-coding RNA (331 nucleotides) under Felis catus (domestic cat). RNAcentral's name for it is "lncRNA (ENSFCAG00000053155.1)". The record is from RNAcentral. Lineage: Eukaryota; Metazoa; Chordata; Mammalia; Carnivora; Felidae.